Long non-coding RNA from Hydractinia symbiolongicarpus, 438 nucleotides. RefSeq lists it as uncharacterized. The record is from RefSeq and is a predicted model, not a curated record. NCBI's taxonomy places the organism in Eukaryota, Metazoa, Cnidaria, Hydrozoa, Anthoathecata, Hydractiniidae. The transcript has 2 exons.
UGAUGAGACGCCUAAUGAAAGUGGUUUAAUCGCCGGCAAACGAAAACCCGCGAUUUCCCGUAAAUCCCGGGCUUGGCCCGUAUAGUCGAAUGUAUACAAAGAAAAGUACCCUGUGAGUAAACUCAUUUCCAAAACGAUUUUUUAAAUUAUCUUUUCAGCACUAAAACGCAUGAGACUUGUAGUUUUCAAAAAUGAUUUCAUUUUUGAUGAGACGCUGAAUAAAAGAAGUUUAAUCGCCGGCAAACGAAAACCCGCCAUUUCCCGUAAACCCCGGAUUCGGUCCGUAUAAUCAAAAGUAUACAAAGAAAGUACCCAGGGAGUAAACUCAUUUCCCGAACGACUUUUUAAAUUAUUUUUUCACCACUAAAACGCAUGAGACUUGUAGUUUUCAAAAAUGUUUUCAUUUUUGAUGAGACGCUGAAUGAAAGAAGUUUAAUC